UAAAAGGUCCUUUUCAGGACCAGUGAAAAUUAUUCAAAUUAUUGU
Molecule: non-coding RNA, 45 nt
Organism: Aedes albopictus (Asian tiger mosquito)
Lineage: Eukaryota; Metazoa; Arthropoda; Insecta; Diptera; Culicidae
Source: Rfam